Molecule: ribosomal RNA, 424 nt
Filed under: uncultured bacterium
Lineage: Bacteria
Description: partial 16S ribosomal RNA
Rfam family: Bacterial small subunit ribosomal RNA
Source: RNAcentral
AAUUUUGGACAAUGGGGGAAACCCUGAUCCAGCCACCCCGCGGGUAUGAUGAAGGCCUUCGGGUUGUAAAGUACUUUUGGCAGAGAAGAAAAGGUAUCCCCUAAUACGGGAUACUGCUGACGGUAUCUGCAGAAUAAGCACCGCCUACCUACGUGCCAGCAGCCGCGGUCAUACGUAGGGUGCAAGCGUUAAUCGGAAUUACUGGGAGUAAAGCGGAUGUAGGCGGAGCGGAAAGAAAGAUGUGAGAUCCCAGGGCUCAAACUUGGAACUGCAUUUUUAACUGACAAGCUAGAGUAUGUCAGAGGGAGGUAGAAUUCCACGUGUAGCAGUGAAAUGCGUAGAUAUGUAGAGGAAUACCAAUGGCGAAGGCAGCCCCCUGGGAUAAUACUGACGCUCAGACACGAAAGCGUGGGGAGCAAACAGG